RNAcentral lists this transfer RNA (75 nucleotides) under [Clostridium] innocuum. Its description in RNAcentral is "tRNA-Ile". It matches the Rfam family "tRNA". From Rfam's summary of the family: Transfer RNA (tRNA) molecules are approximately 80 nucleotides in length. Their secondary structure includes four short double-helical elements and three loops (D, anti-codon, and T loops). Further hydrogen bonds mediate the characteristic L-shaped molecular structure. tRNAs have two regions of fundamental functional importance: the anti-codon, which is responsible for specific mRNA codon recognition, and the 3' end, to which the tRNAs corresponding amino acid is attached (by aminoacyl-tRNA synthetases). tRNAs cope with the degeneracy of the genetic code in two manners: having more than one tRNA (with a specific anti-codon) for a particular amino acid; and 'wobble' base-pairing, i.e. permitting non-standard base-pairing at the 3rd anti-codon position. Lineage: Bacteria; Bacillati; Bacillota; Clostridia; Eubacteriales; Clostridiaceae. The record is from RNAcentral.
GGACCAUUAGUUCAGCGGUAGAGCAGUCGCCUCAUAAGCGAUUAGUCGGAGGUUCGAAUCCUCCAUGGUCCACCA